Long non-coding RNA from Neofelis nebulosa (Clouded leopard), 888 nucleotides. RefSeq lists it as uncharacterized. The record is from RefSeq and is a predicted model, not a curated record. The transcript is spliced from 3 exons. Lineage: Eukaryota; Metazoa; Chordata; Mammalia; Carnivora; Felidae.
AUCGCUGAGGGACAGCCUGGCAAACAUGCCCUUGCCCCGCCGCCUGCCAACCAGUUCAGCACGCGCAGGGGAUGGAAUCUUCCUCCAAGAAGGAACAGCUCUUCAGUCGUGUCCUGACAGUGCGUGGGCUCCGGAAACAGGGCAGGGCCCGGGCUGACGCUGGACCUGUCGUCUUCCAGCCUGGCAGCCUCCCGCCGUGCACUGCAAUACCGAUCUGUCCUCGUCCUCAGCCUUCUCACAUGCCCAGGCGGCUCGGGUUCCCGGGAGGCACUUUCUGGCACAUUCCACCAGGUGCUCAUGCUCCAACCUACCCCAGCCAGCACCACGAGGUGGGGCGUGUAGUCGUUUCUCAGGCGGGAAUUAAGUCCCUCUCCAGAGAUCUUUGCUGUAUUUUUGUGGCGCUGAGGCAGUGGAGACCAACUGUGUUUUCCGGGUAAGCAGCCUCAGGGGUCACCUCCCGGAGAAGCGGUUCCGGGUCAGGACGCGGUUCGAGGUUCAGGCGUUCGCGCCGACUCUGUGCCUUCCUCCGUGAGCCUGCGUGCGGGACCUCGCCGGACAUGCCCGCCGCGUGCGGACCUUUACCACCCGCACGCACGCGGUGCUCUCGCCACCUGGCCGCCACCCGGAAGAGACCUGUGCUUUUGGAGAACCCAGUUGGUAUGCGUGAGAAGCCCUAGCCAUAUGGAGAGGUCAUGUGUUGACGCCAGUCAGUUGCCUCAGUGAAGACCAGCCUUUGAAUCACUACAGCCAUCCCAUGAGACAUUAAGUGAAGAAGCCUCCAGAUGAUUACAGCCUUUAACUAUAUCAGGAAAAACAUUUUGUGCCCUACCUUUAUUGAGAGAUUAUUUUUAAAUGAUUGAAGAAGACAGGGAGAGACUGUACUCCUGA